RNAcentral lists this long non-coding RNA (380 nucleotides) under Rattus norvegicus (Norway rat). Its description in RNAcentral is "long non-coding RNA NONRATT007357". Lineage: Eukaryota; Metazoa; Chordata; Mammalia; Rodentia; Muridae. The record is from RNAcentral.
GAACUAACUACUCCAAGCCAUCUGAGGCCUAUUCGUGGUAGAGAUGAUAGGAUGCUCCAGGUUUACCUGAAGUUACGGUGUGACCUGCCCCCAAAGAGCCAAGCUCUCAACAUUCAUCUGCACCUUCCCCUGCCUCGAGGGGUCGUCAGCCUGUCUCAGGAACUGAGCAGCCCAGAUCAGAAGGCAGAGCUGGGAGAAGGAGCCCUUCACUGGGACCUGCCCCGGGUACAAGGAGGUUCUCAACUCUCUGGCCUUUUCCAGAUGGAUGUCCCUGGCUUGCAGGGACCUCCCAGCCGUGGGCCGUCCCCCUCAGCACCCCCCUUGGGGCUGGGUCCUGCCAGCCUCUCCUUUGAACUCCCUCGGCACACAUGCUCUGGCCU